CCUACGGAGGCAGCAGUGAGGAAUAUUGGUCAAUGGGAGAGAUCCUGAACCAGCCAAGCCGCGUGAGGGAAGACGGCCCUAUGGGUUGUAAACCUCUUUUGUCGGAGAACAAAACCCGGGACGUGUCCCGGACUGCGUGUAUCCGAAGAAAAAGCAUCGGCUAACUCCGUGCCAGCAGCCGCGGUAAUACGGGGGAUGCGAGCGUUAUCCGGAUUUAUUGGGUUUAAAGGGGGCGUAGGCGGUCAGUUAAGUCAGCGGUAAAAUUGCGGGGCUAAACCCCGUCGAGCCGUUGAAACUGGCAGACUUGAGUUGGCGAGAGGUACGCGGAAUGCGCGGUGUAGCGGUGAAAUGCAUAGAUAUCGCGCAGAACUCCGAUUGCGAAGGCAGCGUGCCGGCGCCAGACUGACGCUGAGGCACGAAAGCGUGGGGAUCGAACAGGAUUAGAUACCCUUGUAGUC
This 458-nucleotide ribosomal RNA is filed under the name uncultured bacterium. RNAcentral describes it as "partial 16S ribosomal RNA". It matches the Rfam family "Bacterial small subunit ribosomal RNA", at positions 338 to 795 of the family's 1533-position model. The record is from RNAcentral.